GGUCCCUGCCUCCCUCUUUAUCUCCCUUCCUCAUCCCACGGUUCAUCAUCAUCCUCAUUAUCUUCCUCUUUCUCUUCCUCUUCCUCUUCCUCCUCCUCCAUUUCCUCUUCCUCGUUUUGUUACAUGUGUUUCUUUCUUUAUUUCCUUCAUUACAUCUUUCUCUUCCUCUUCCUUCUUUUCCUCUUCCACGUUUUGUUAUAAUGUCUUCCUAUUUUUGUUUUAUUCAUUACAACAUCAACAACAAAAAUAUAAAAAAACCCAGCAACAUAUUACUUACUAUAAAUACUACGACUACGAGUACAUCAUCAUCAUCAUCAUCAUCAUCAUCGUCAUCACCAAUACUUACCUGUCUUUUUCUCCCUUCCACAGGUGAGUGUAAUUAGCAGUACCUGAGCAUCUUGUAGCCACGUGAGUGAGAAAGACAGACAGACACACAAACAGUAAGUGAGUGCAGCAGACAGCAACAGCAGCAUCAGCAUCAGCAGUAGAGUAAGCAGGACGUGGGCACAGCAGGACUUUAUUCAGCAGGUAGAAAGAGAGAUAGAGAGAGAGAGAAGUGGUGAUUACAGGUAGGCUAAUAACAGGUAAAGAUAAUGGAGGUAGAAGGGUAGAGGAUAGAUAGAUAAAAAUUGAACCCUUGUUUAGCUUGGAUGAGGAAAUGAAGGGAUGGAAAGAAAGAAGGAAAAACAUAAAAAGCAGGGAGAUAAAAAAGAGAAAUAGACAGAAAAGUAAAUAAUGAAUGCAGAAAGAUACUGUGUAAGCGAAUAGACGGAAGGGAAGAGGGAAAGGAAGACACAGAAAGAAGGAAGAAUAAAUAAAAUAAGAGGAACGAAGGUAGGAGAGAAGUGGUGAUAACAGGUAGACUAAUAACAGGUAGAGGGAAUGGAGAUAGAAGGGUAGAGGAUAGGUAGAUAAAAAUAGGACCUUUGUUUAGCUUGUUGAUGGAUGAGAAAAUGAAGGGAUGGAAUAAAAGAAGGAAAGGAAAAACACGAAAAACAGGGAGAUAAAAAAAGAGAAAUAGACAGAAAAGUAAAUAAUGAAUACAGAAAGAUACUGUGUUAGCGAAUAGACGGAAGGGAAGAGGGAAAGGAAGACACAGAAAGAAGGAAGAAUAAAUAAAAUAAGAGGAACGAAGGUAGGAGAGAAGUGGUGAUAACAGGUACAAGGAAUGGAGAUAGAAGGGUAGAAGAUAGGUAGAUAAAAAUAGAACCCUAGUUAAGCGAGUUAAUAUAUGAGGAAAAUGUGAGGAAAAAGAAGGAUAGCUAAAUUUGAAGAACAGGGAAAGUCAAAUAAAAGUAGAGAGAAAAGUAAAUGAUAGAUAAAGAAAAAAAAGUACAUUGUUAGUUAGCGUGUAGACGGAAGAGAAGAGGGAAAGAAAAACACAGAACGAAGGAAGAAUAAAUAAAAUAAGAGGAAGGAAGGUAGGAGAGAAGUGGUGAUUACAGGUAGACAAAUAACAGGUAGAGGUAAUGGAGAUAGAAGGGUAGACGAUAGGUAGAUAAAAAUGGGAACCUUGUUCAGUGAGUUAAUAUAUGAGGAAAAUGUGAGAAAAAUGAGGGAAUAGAAAGAAGGAUAGAAAAACUUGAAUAACAGAAAGUCAAAUAAAAGUAGAGAAAAGUAAAUGACAAAUAAAAAAAAGCACAUUGUUAGUUAGCGAGUAGACGGAAGAGAAGAGGGAAAGAAAGACAUAGAAAGAAGGAAGAAUAAAUAUAAUAAGAGGAAGGAAAGUAGAAGGAGGAAACUGGUGAUUACAGGUAGACAAAUGAUAGGUAGAGGUAAGGUCGAUAGAAGGGUAGAAGAUAGAUAGAUUAGAACGAUACGCUUGUUCAGUGAGUUGAUGGAGGAGGAAGAAAAAGGGAUAGGAAGAAAAAUAGACAGAGAAGUAAAUAAAUAAAAAAAACUAUACAUUUUUAUUUAGCGAGGAGAUUGAAGAGGUAAAAGAAUGCUCAGAAAGUAGAGAAAAAAAACAAACAAAUUACAGGUAGGGGAAUAGAAGCUAGAUAAAUGGAGAAUAGUAAAUAGGGAAUGAGUACUAUAUAAAAACGUUAGUGUGUUUUUGUGAGUAGGUGAAGGAGGAGCAAGAACAAAUAGAAGAAAGGGGAAAGAUGUGUAAUGUCAGGCAAUAAAAAGAGAGAGAAGGAAAAAUUAAACUGGAAUAGAAGAAGAAUAGGCAGUGUCGUUUUUUUUGGCGAAUAGCUGAAAAUGAAAUGGGAAUGAAUAGAAGGAAGAAGAAAAAUAUAAACGAAUAGUAAAUUAGUUGACUGAUGGAUAGAACGAGAUAGAGUAAUUUGGUGAGAAGGAAAAGCAAACAUAAAUAGAAGAAGAAUAGCUAAAGGAGGAUGAAAAUGAAUAGAAGGAGGAAGAAAAAUAUAAACGAAUAGUAAAUUAGUUGACUGAUAGAUAGAACGAGAUAGAGUAAUUUGGUGAGAAGGAAAAGCAAACAUAAAUAGAAGAAGAAUAGCUAAAGGAGGAUGAAAAUGAAUAGAAGGAAGAAUAAAAAGUAUAAACAGACAGUAAACUAGUUGAUUAAUAGAUAGAACGAGAUAGAAUAAUAUGAAUGAGAAGGAAAAAUCAAACAGAAAUAGAAGACGAAUAGGAAGUGUCGUUUGGCGAAUAGCUAAAGGAGGAUGAAAGUUAAUAGAAGGAAGAAAAAUAUAUAAACGGACAGUAAAUUAGUUGAUUGAUAGGUAGAACGAUAUGAAUAGAAUAAUAUGGAUGAGAAGGAAAAUCAAACAGGAAUAGAAGAAGAAUAUGAAAUGUCGUUUUGAGGAUAGCUGAAGGAGGAUGAAAAUGAAAAGAAGGAAGAAGAAAUAUAUAAACAGAUAGGAAAUUAUUAGACUGUUAGGGUGAACGAGAUAAGUAGAAUAAUAUGGAUGUUGAAAGUGUCAAUAUCAUGGAAAAAAAAGAGAAAUGCAAAGAAAGAAGAGAAAAAAAUCUAUUAUCAGGUUAUGAGACAGUAGAUUCAUAGGUAGAAAUAAAAAAAAAGAAAUAGAUAUGUUGAAAGAAAAUAUUACACACUACUCGUUUAGCGAAGAAAUAUAGGAGGGUAAGGAAUGCAUAGAAAAACAGAAGGGGAAAAAAUAAUACCAGGUAGAGGAUUUGUAGAUUUAUAGGUGAAACGUGAGGGAGGUAAAAAAAAAAAAAAAGACUAAUGACGGACAGGUAGAGAAGUUGAUAUUCGAGAGGUAGAACGAGAAAGAGAUAAAGAAAAGACAUAUAAUAGGGAGAUAGAACGAGAGAGGGAGAGAGAUAAAAAGGAGAAAUAAGAGAUAGGUAGAA
Molecule: long non-coding RNA, 3279 nt
Organism: Eriocheir sinensis (Chinese mitten crab)
Lineage: Eukaryota; Metazoa; Arthropoda; Malacostraca; Decapoda; Varunidae
Exons: 2
Source: RefSeq, a predicted model, not a curated record